UAGGCCCGCUAUCAAGAGUGGCACCGGACGAGGGAGCCGUACCCGGAACGUGACAAGACGGCCUUCG
Molecule: non-coding RNA, 67 nt
Filed under: Cyphomyrmex costatus
Lineage: Eukaryota; Metazoa; Arthropoda; Insecta; Hymenoptera; Formicidae
Source: RNAcentral